RNAcentral lists this unclassified non-coding RNA (435 nucleotides) under Hevea brasiliensis (rubber tree). The record is from RNAcentral. Lineage: Eukaryota; Viridiplantae; Streptophyta; Magnoliopsida; Malpighiales; Euphorbiaceae.
AAAAAAAAACUUACAUAAUAUUUGCAUAAUAAAUUUCAUUUACAAAAGUUACAAAAUCUAAACUUGGACAAAAAAGGAAGAUUGUCUACAAUAAAAUAAUAGCAAUUGUUUGUACUCACCUCAAUGUAGUAAAACCAUACUUGUCGCCAAUAUGGAUUUAUGUACAAAACUGCAGCUAUUACCAACAACACCAUAAUGUAAGUCACCCCAAAACUCGCAUGGAAAGCAUCCUUAUCGAUGAAGCAACUGCUUUCUUUAUUCUCAAUUGAAGUUCUUGAUUUUGAUGGAGGUAAUGAUAUUUCAGUACAAUUUUUCAUCAAUGGACAUCCAUAGAGAAAAAGGUUUCCUCGAUAGCUGCUUUCAUCAAAUGUUGCAAAUUGUUUAACAUCGGGUAUCUUGCCAGAUAAAUUAUGUAUGACACAUUAAAAACAGCCA